CCUGGCUCAGGACGAACGCUGGCGGCGCGCCUAACACAUGCAAGUCGAACGAGAGAGAGGGAGCUUGCUUCCUCAAUCGAGUGGCGAACGGGUGAGUAACGCGUGAGGAACCUGCCUCAAAGAGGGGGACAACAGUUGGAAACGACUGCUAAUACCGCAUAAGCCCACGGGUCGGCAUCGACCAGAGGGAAAAGGAGCAAUCCGCUUUGAGAUGGCCUCGCGUCCGAUUAGCUAGUUGGUGAGGUAACGGCCCACCAAGGCAACGAUCGGUAGCCGGACUGAGAGGUUGAACGGCCACAUUGGGACUGAGACACGGCCCAGACUCCUACGGGAGGCAGCAGUGGGGAAUAUUGCACAAUGGGGGAAACCCUGAUGCAGCGACGCCGCGUGGAGGAAGAAGGUCUUCGGAUUGUAAACUCCUGUUGUUGAGGAAGAUAAUGACGGUACUCAACAAGGAAGUGACGGCUAACUACGUGCCAGCAGCCGCGGUAAAACGUAGGUCACAAGCGUUGUCCGGAAUUACUGGGUGUAAAGGAAGCGCAGGCGGGAAGACAAGUUGGAAGUGAAAUCCAUGGGCUCAACCCAUGAACUGCUUUCAAAACUGUUUUUCUUGAGUAGUGCAGAGGUAGGCGGAAUUCCCGGUGUAGCGGGAAAUGCGUAGAUAUCGGGAGGAACACCAGUGGCGAAGGCGGCCUACUGGGCACCAACUGACCCUGAGGCUCGAAAGUGUGGGUAGCAAACAGGAUUAGAUACCCUGGUAGUCCACACCGUAAACGAUGAUUACUAGGUGUUGGAGGAUUGACCCCUUCAGUGCCGCAGUUAACACAAUAAGUAAUCCACCUGGGGAGUACGACCGCAAGGUUGAAACUCAAAGGAAUUGACGGGGGCCCGCACAAGCAGUGGAGUAUGUGGUUUAAUUCGACGCAACGCGAAGAACCUUACCAAGUCUUGACAUCCCUUGACGAUGCUGGAAACAGUAUUUCUCUUCGGAGCAAGGAGACAGGUGGUGCAUGGUUGUCGUCAGCUCGUGUCGUGAGAUGUUGGGUUAAGUCCCGCAACGAGCGCAACCCUUAUGGUCAGUUACUACGCAAGAGGACUCUGGCCAGACUGCCGUUGACAAAACGGAGGAAGGUGGGGAUGACGUCAAAUCAUCAUGCCCUUUAUGACUUGGGCUACACACGUACUACAAUGGCGUUAAACAAAGAGAAGCAAGACCGCGAGGUGGAGCAAAACUCAGAAACAACGUCCCAGUUCGGACUGCAGGCUGCGACUCGCCUGCACGAAGUCGGAAUUGCUAGUAAUCGUGGAUCAGCAUGCCACGGUGAAUACGUUCCCGGGCCUUGCACACACCGCCCG
Molecule: ribosomal RNA, 1356 nt
Filed under: uncultured bacterium
Lineage: Bacteria
Description: bacterial SSU rRNA
Rfam family: Bacterial small subunit ribosomal RNA
Source: RNAcentral